RNAcentral lists this ribosomal RNA (239 nucleotides) under uncultured bacterium. RNAcentral's name for it is "partial 16S ribosomal RNA". It matches the Rfam family "Bacterial small subunit ribosomal RNA", at positions 118 to 351 of the family's 1533-position model. The record is from RNAcentral.
UGAGGAACAUGACUUUCGGCGGGGGAGUAGCCGGCCCAACGGCCGGGUAAUACCGCGUACGACCUCUCGGGGACAUCCCCGGUUGGUGAAAGCAGCAAUGCACCGAAAGAGUGCCUCGCGGCCUAUCAGCUAGUUGGUGGGGUAACGGCUCACCAAGGCGACGACGGGUAGCUGGUCUGAGAGGAUGGCCAGCCACAUUGGGACUGAGACACGGCCCAGACCUCCGUACGGGGAGGCAG